Molecule: ribosomal RNA, 197 nt
Filed under: uncultured bacterium
Lineage: Bacteria
Description: partial 16S ribosomal RNA
Rfam family: Bacterial small subunit ribosomal RNA
Source: RNAcentral
ACGCUCGACACCUACGGAGGCAGCAGUGGGGAAUAUUGCACAAUGGGGGAAACCCUGAUGCAGCGAUGCCGCGUGAAGGAAGAAGUAUCUCGGUAUGUAAACUUCUAUCAGCAGGGAAGAAAAUGACGGUACCUGACUAAGAAGCCCCGGCUAACUACGUGCCAACAGCCGCGGUAAUCUGAGCGGGCUGGCAAGGC